GAGGUGGGAGGAGUGCUUGAGCCUGGGAGGUUGAGGCUCAGUAAGCUGUGAUUGCACCACUGCACUCCAGCCUGAGUGACAGAGCAGGACCCUGUCUC
RNAcentral lists this microRNA precursor (98 nucleotides) under Aotus nancymaae (Ma's night monkey). Its description in RNAcentral is "miRNA (ENSANAG00000000926.1)". The record is from RNAcentral. Lineage: Eukaryota; Metazoa; Chordata; Mammalia; Primates; Aotidae.